AACGAACGUUAGCGGCGCGCCUAACACAUGCAAGUCGAGCGAGAAAGGGGCAACCCCCGGUAAAGCGGCGCACGGGUGAGUAACACGUAGGUAAUCUACCCUCGGGUGGAGGAUAACUUUCCGAAAGGAAGGCUAAUACUGCAUGAGACCACGGUUCCGGAGGGGAUUGAGGUCAAAGCCGGCCACUGUACACAAGCUGGCGCCUGAGGAUGAGCCUGCGGCCCAUCAGCUAGUUGGUAGGGUAAUGGCCUACCAAGGCGAAGACGGGUAGCUGGUCUGAGAGGAUGAUCAGCCACACUGGAACUGAGACACGGUCCAGACUCCUACGGGAGGCAGCAGUGGGGAAUCUUGCGCAAUGGGCGAAAGCCUGACGCAGCGACGCCGCGUGAGUGAUGAAGGCCUUCGGGUUGUAAAGCUCUGUGGAGGGGGACGAAUAAGGGCUGGCUAACGAUCCAGCUUGAUGACGGUACCUCUUUAGCAAGCACCGGCUAACUCUGUGCCAGCAC
This 506-nucleotide ribosomal RNA is filed under the name uncultured bacterium. RNAcentral's name for it is "bacterial SSU rRNA". It matches the Rfam family "Bacterial small subunit ribosomal RNA", at positions 29 to 514 of the family's 1533-position model. The record is from RNAcentral.